This 73-nucleotide transfer RNA is filed under the name Ovis aries (sheep). It matches the Rfam family "tRNA". From Rfam's summary of the family: Transfer RNA (tRNA) molecules are approximately 80 nucleotides in length. Their secondary structure includes four short double-helical elements and three loops (D, anti-codon, and T loops). The record is from Rfam by way of RNAcentral. Lineage: Eukaryota; Metazoa; Chordata; Mammalia; Artiodactyla; Bovidae.
UCCCUGGUGAUCUGGUGGUUAAGACUCUGAGCUCUCAAUGCAGGGGGCUCAGGUUCAAUUCCUGGUCAGGGAA